Cheilinus undulatus (humphead wrasse) is the source of this 165-nucleotide small nuclear RNA. RefSeq annotates it as U1 spliceosomal RNA. The record is from RefSeq and is a predicted model, not a curated record. The transcript has a single exon. Lineage: Eukaryota; Metazoa; Chordata; Actinopteri; Labriformes; Labridae.
AUACAUGCCUGGUAGGGGAGACACCAUGAUCAGAAAGACGGUUUACACAUGGUGAGGACCACCUAUUGCACUGCGACCUGGGCUGACCUGUGUGAAUAUCCAGAAUGUGGGAAUCUUGACUGCAUAAUUUCUGAUAGUGGAGGACUGCGCCCGUGCUCUACCUUG